UACGGGGGGGGCAAGCGUUGUUCGGAAUUACUGGGCGUAAAGGGCUCGUAGGCGGCCAACUAAGUCGGAUGUGAAAUCCCCAGGCUUAACCUGGGAACUGCAUCCGAUACUGGAUGGCUUGAAUCCGGGAGAGGGAUGCGGAAUUCCAGGUGUAGCAGUGAAAUGCGUAGAUAUCUGGAGGAACACCAGAAGCGAAGGCGGCUCACUGGCCCAAUACUGACGCUGAGGCGCGAAAGCGUGGGGAGCAAACAGG
This 253-nucleotide ribosomal RNA is filed under the name uncultured bacterium. RNAcentral describes it as "partial 16S ribosomal RNA". It matches the Rfam family "Bacterial small subunit ribosomal RNA", at positions 524 to 776 of the family's 1533-position model. The record is from RNAcentral.